UUUAAAAAGAAACUGAAAACUUCUCAGUUCUCUCCCUCUUCCCCUUUCCGACCGUCGGGCUUCCAGGCCUUCGCCGCGCCGCCUCCACGGCCAGUGGUCGGAGUCGCUCGAGAUGGGUUUUUUAACCCUGGCUUCGGCACGCGUAAAGGCGGUACCUUUUUAAGCCAAGAGGCCGCAAAAAGGGGGUUUGAAUCUUCCUCCAAAUCCAGAUCUGACGCCGACGAGAGGCCACCGGCGGCACAAACCGAUUCAGGUGAGACCCUCUCUUCAACCCUUUUAUUUAUUUUGUUUUCUUUAAAAACAUUUUCAAAAAGAAAGAAAAUAUAAAAAUAAAUAGAUAAAUAAAUAAACAAAUAAAUCGAUCAAGAAAAAAAGACAAGAACAAGAACAACAACCUUUUCUCUUAUUUUCUGAUGUUUGUAAUAAAGGAUCCCCCCUAUUACAACAAAUUCGGCUUUAGCCGAAAGACAAGAAAAGAAAAAUCCCCCUGUAUUACAACAAUCUGUUUCGGCUUUAUAACCGAAAAAUGAAAAGAAAAAUCUAUCUCCUUGUCUGUUUCUGCUUUUAUUGUUUGCAGGUUGGAGACGUGCUGCGGUGGUGGUGACAGAGAGCAGGUGGAGCAGAGGGCAGGUGGCUUAGGUUAGGGGCGCGGCGCUAGAGGCAGAGACUAGGGUUUCAUGUUUUGGGCUUAGUGGGCUGCUAGGGUUUUGAUAAUUGGGCUGAUUGGGUUUGGGUUGUAAUUGGGUUUGGUUUAAGGUUUGGGUAAUUGGGGUUUUUUUGCUUUGGGUUUGCUUGUUGGGUUAAAGUUUGUAAACAGGUUGUCUUGGUUUGGUUUGUUUUUGCUGGUACGGGCCCGGGAAAAAAUGGGCUUGUACAGUAAAUACCUCAUUUAUUUUUCACUUAAAUUUUUUUCUUUUCAAAAAAAAAAAA
This 930-nucleotide long non-coding RNA is filed under the name Gossypium barbadense (sea-island cotton). RNAcentral describes it as "long non-coding RNA (GBAR_LNC020499)". Lineage: Eukaryota; Viridiplantae; Streptophyta; Magnoliopsida; Malvales; Malvaceae. The record is from RNAcentral.